GUUAUGUAGAGAAUCUGCAGUGUUAGUGUAUAAUAUGAAAGAUAUUUAUGUUUAUCGUCGUCAUUAACGUUUGUUAAAUAUCUUCUUUAACUUGAUUUUUCUGUAGUUAAGUUAGCUAUUUAUAAAAGUACGAUAGCGCUUUCUGCCAAAUUAAUAUUACAUAUUAUUUUUGUCUUGAUUUCCACAGUCACUUUUCUACAUAAAGGCAAAGAAUAUAAAACCAACUUUGAUUACAUUGAUUAAAUAUAAUAAUGAAUCCAAGUGCCCUUUUUGUAAACAGCAAAGAGACUACAGCAUCCUGCUGCCUGCCUUCAGAGUCAUGAGGGCCACAUUGUCAAGUAUGCAGGGUCUUCCAAGUCAGAUGAAUAACCAUGACUGUGGAAUUUUCAUGUUGAUGUUCUCUUUAGAAUGACAUGCUGGCUUUGAGGAAGUGCUCGUGUAGAAUGUUGCUUGAGAACUCCAGCCCCAAGGGCACUGCGCUCAUGCAGGUUUCAGAUCUUUUCUUUUAGAAGAAACAUCAGCCUCCCUUCUCCAACAUCCAGCACAGGGCACUGAUGAGCAGCAGCAUGGAAUCCUUCAGCAUCUUACUGAGGCAGAGAAGUGGUGUGCUGAGAACAUUUCUGUGUUCAGGGGGCACAUCUCACUCUCUUCAUUACUGUCAAUGGACAAAGACGACAUUGAGGAGGCCCUUCAGAAAUUUGAUUUGCUAUCUGAAUUUCCAGAACAAGAGGAGAGGGAAUAUGUCUUUAGACCCUUCAUCAUCCUUUUUUUCACAUAUGGAAGACAUGCAUCUGUUUUUAGAUAACGUGAGAGGAAA
Erpetoichthys calabaricus (reedfish) is the source of this 817-nucleotide long non-coding RNA. RefSeq lists it as uncharacterized. Lineage: Eukaryota; Metazoa; Chordata; Cladistia; Polypteriformes; Polypteridae. The record is from RefSeq and is a predicted model, not a curated record. The transcript has 5 exons.